AGUUUGAUCCUGGCUCAGAGUGAACGCUGGCGGCAGGCCUAACACAUGCAAGUCGAACGGCAGCACAGUAAGAGCUUGCUCUUAUGGGUGGCGAGUGGCGGACGGGUGAGGAAUACAUCGGAAUCUACUCUUUCGUGGGGGAUAACGUAGGGAAACUUACGCUAAUACCGCAUACGACCUACGGGUGAAAGCGGAGGACCUUCGGGCUUCGCGCGGUUGAAUGAGCCGAUGUCGGAUUAGCUAGUUGGCGGGGUAAAGGCCUACCAAGGCGACGAUCCAUAGCUGGUCUGAGAGGAUGAUCAGCCACAUUGGGACUGAGACACGGCCCAAACUCCUACGGGAGGCAGCAGUGGGGAAUAUUGGACAAUGGGCGCAAGCCUGAUCCAGCCAUGCCGCGUGAGUGAUGAAGGCCUUAGGGUUGUAAAGCUCUUUCACCGGAGAAGAUAAUGACGGUAUCCGGAGAAGAAGCCCCGGCUAACUUCGUGCCAGCAGCCGCGGUAA
This 501-nucleotide ribosomal RNA is filed under the name uncultured bacterium. RNAcentral describes it as "bacterial SSU rRNA". It matches the Rfam family "Bacterial small subunit ribosomal RNA", at positions 10 to 523 of the family's 1533-position model. The record is from RNAcentral.